Molecule: ribosomal RNA, 443 nt
Filed under: uncultured bacterium
Lineage: Bacteria
Description: partial 16S ribosomal RNA
Rfam family: Bacterial small subunit ribosomal RNA
Source: RNAcentral
CCUACGGGUGGCAGCAGUGGGGAAUAUUGGGCAAUGGAGGCAACUCUGACCCAGCCAAGCCGCGUGAAUGAUGAAGGUCUUCGGAUUGUAAAGUUCUUUUUUAAGGGGAGAAGAAAGUGACGGUACCUUGGGAAUAAGCCUCGGCUAACUACGUGCCAGCAGCCGCGGUAAUACGGAGGCGGCGAGCGUUAUCCGGAAUGACUGGGCGUAAAGGGUGCGUAGGUGGUCUGACAAGUUAGUAGCGCAACUCCGGGGCUCAACUUCGGAACUAGUACUAAAACUGUUGGACGUGAGUGCAGGAGAGGCAAUCGGAAUGCGUAGUGUAGCGGUGGAAUGCGUAGAUAUUAGGAGGAACACCAAUGGCGAAGGCAGAUUGCUAGACUGUAACUGACACUGAGGCACGAAAGCGUGGGGAGCGAACAGGAUUAGAUACCCGUGUAGUC